This is a long non-coding RNA of Zonotrichia albicollis (white-throated sparrow), 2066 nucleotides long. The record is from Ensembl. Lineage: Eukaryota; Metazoa; Chordata; Aves; Passeriformes; Passerellidae.
CCCUUGGUUAUCUCUAUCCAGUCUGUAUGGCUGGACUGCUUUGUAAAAGAGUUGGCAUCUAAAGCCUUUCACAAAGAAGGAUGGGGAAUGCUAAAAAGUAAAAAAAAAGAGAGAGAAAGGAUCCGUAUACAAAUUGUGUACUAAACUAGAGUGGUUCAGCUGAGGGAUGAGGGAGACUCCCCUAAGCAGGAACUUCUGUUGAAAGAGAUAAACUGAAAACAGACAAAGAAUAUGCUUUUAAAGAAUCUUACUGCUAAUAAAACAAAAUCUCUGGACAUCUUCCUUUUCCAAAUAUCACCCUAACAAGUAGCAGAUUUUAGUUAAAGUAUUUAGUGUAGACAACUACAGCUAUAAAGUACUAACAGUCUUGUGGCUCCUUUGCAGCGUUCUGGUUGUGCAAAGAAGAAAGUUGUUGUUGCCCGAGACACAUCACAUGUUCUAAGCAGAAGAGCCUAUGAUGUACAGAAUGCCUCUUCUCCUUCAAACGGCAGCCACUCUGACAUGCAGGGCGGAUCAUUUAUUGCAACCAGUGGAUCAAGUAAUCAGGGUGGUUGCAUUUGUCCUGAUGGAAGCAGUGGUCAUAGACCGGGAGCCCCAGGUUCUUCAUACAGCACAUAUUCUGGUAACCAGGGAGGGCAUUCCUACUAUGGACCUGGUGGAUCUUACGGACAGGGAGGGACUUCUUCUUAUGAUGGCAGCAGUGAAUCCUAUGGUCAGGGUGGAUCUUCUGUAUAUAGUGGUUCUGAGGCUUACGGCCAGGAUUCACCUGCCAUGGGAGCCAGUGAAACUGAAGAUAGUGAUUCCUCCUCAGCAUCUGGUGGCCGCCAGAGUGAACGGGAUUUUUAUUCCCCAGGAGGCAGCCAGUCAGGUGGACAUGGGUCAUCUUCUCAAAGUGGCAGCUACUCCAGUGGACAGGACUCAUACUCAUCUGGAAGCAGCCAGUAUGGUGGGCAGGGUUCAUCCUCCUCAGGAGGCAGCCAGUCUGGUGGACAGGGUGGAUGUGAUUGUUCUGGGACAAAUUCUGGUGGAUCCCCUACUUUAGUCAGAAGUGAUUCCUCUGCAAAUGGCACAUCUUCUUUUGGAGGCAGCCACUACAACAGCCAGGAUUCAUAUUCCUCUGGAGCUAACCAGUAUGGAGGACAUGGUUCACGUUCCCCAGGAGGCAGCCAAUAUGGUGGACAGGGUUCACCUUCUUCAGGAGGCAGCCAGUAUGGAGGACAGGGUCCAUCUUUCUCAGGUGGCAGACCUUAUGGAGGACAGGGCUUUUCUUCAGGGGUCAGGCAGUCUGGUGGACAGGGUGGGUGUGUGUGCCCCGGUGGAGGUUCAGGCUCUUUCUCAGGAACCAACUACCAUGGUGGACAGGGUUCAUAUCCUGGAAGUAAUCAGUAUGGUGGACAGGGAUCUUAUCCCUCAGGAGGCAGCCAGUAUGGUGGGCAGGGCUCAUAUCCUUCUGGAGGCAAACAACAUGGUAAACCAGGUUCCUCUUCCUCAGGAGGCAGUCAACAAGGAAAGCCAGGUGGCUCUGGCUCAGGAAGCACUUACUCUGGGAAACCGCAAUCACCCUACUCAGGCGGCAGUCAAGUGAGCUCUGCUGGGAAACACUCAACUCCCCAACUCCUGAUGUUAUUCAGUGUUUUGAGUGCCUUUGCUCUCUCUGCUGCUGUAUCAAAAUGGUCUAUAUGAACUUCUGUGGUGUUACUUGACAUCCUAAACACUGAUUAUAAUCUGUAUUAUUAAUUACUUAAUGUAUAAAAAAUACCAUUAAGUCAAAUUGGCAGAUGCUACUUGGCUGUUAUGUUGCAUGUCUAGCUGGUAUGUCAUGUCCCUCAUUAGUUUACCUCUGGUUUUAGUCAUUAGUAGUUCUCAUUAGUUGUGUCAGUGUUUUAGGCAUCAUUUUAAGAGAGCAUAUGGUACCCUACCUAUAGGAUAUGUUUUUAUUUCCAAUAGGGAAUGCAAUGAACACCUACAUGAAAUGAUUGGUGUAACAAAUGAAUACUUAGGGAAAUAUUUGGUUAUUAGCCAAAGUGGACAAGGUGAAAUAAAUUGUUGUAUAUGCAAACUGAGCA